UGCGGAAGGAUCAUUACCGAGUGCGGGCCCUCGCGGCCCAACCUCCCACCCUUGUCUCUAUACACCUGUUGCUUUGGCGGGCCCACCGGGGUCACCUGGUCGCCGGGGGACGUCUGUCCCCGGGCCCGCGCCCGCCGAAGCGCUCUGAGAACCCUGAUGAAGAUGGGCUGUCUGAGUACUAUGAAAAUUGUCAAAACUUUCAACAAUGGAUCUCUUGGUUCCGGCAUCGAUGAAGAACGCAGCGAAAUGCGAUAAGUAAUGUGAAUUGCAGAAUUCCGUGAAUCAUCGAAUCUUUGAACGCACAUUGCGCCCCCUGGCAUUCCGGGGGGCAUGCCUGUCCGAGCGUCAUUUCUGCCCUCAAGCGCGGCUUGUGUGUUGGGUGCGGUCCCCCCGGGGACCUGCCCGAAAGGCAGCGGCGACGUCCGUUUGGGUCCUCGAGCGUAUGGGGCUUUGUCACUCGCUCGGGACGGACCCGCGGGGGUUGGUCACCACCACAAUUUUACCACGGUUGACCUCGGAUCAGGUAGGAGUUACCCGCUGAACUUAAGCAUAUCAUAAGNCCGGAGGAAAGAUCAUUACCGAGUGCGGGCCCUCGCGGCCCAACUCCACCCUUGUCUCUAUACCCCCUGUUGCUUUGGCGGGCCC
This 645-nucleotide ribosomal RNA is filed under the name Penicillium sp. AHBR14. RNAcentral's name for it is "eukaryotic LSU rRNA". The stretch from base 195 to 348 matches the Rfam family "5.8S ribosomal RNA". Lineage: Eukaryota; Fungi; Ascomycota; Eurotiomycetes; Eurotiales; Aspergillaceae. The record is from RNAcentral.